This 253-nucleotide ribosomal RNA is filed under the name uncultured bacterium. RNAcentral describes it as "partial 16S ribosomal RNA". It matches the Rfam family "Bacterial small subunit ribosomal RNA", at positions 524 to 776 of the family's 1533-position model. The record is from RNAcentral.
UACAGAGGUCCCGAGCGUUGUUCGGAUUCAUUGGGCGUAAAGGGUGCGUAGGCGGCGGGGCAAGUCUGAUGUGAAAUCCUGGGGCUCAACCCUGGAACUGCAUUGGAUACUGCCUUGCUAGAGAACUGGAGAGGAGACUGGAAUUUACGGUGUAGCAGUGAAAUGCGUAGAGAUCGUAAGGAAGACCAGUGGCGAAGGCGAGUCUCUGGACAGUUACUGACGCUGAGACGCGAAAGCGUGGGGAGCAAACAGG